ACGCGCGGAACCUUACCAGGUCUUGACAUCCCGCUGCCCGGUAUAGAGAUAUACCUUUCCCUUCGGGGACAGUGGUGACAGGUGGUGCAUGGUUGUCGUCAGCUCGUGUCGUGAGAUGUUGGGUUAAGUCCCGCAACGAGCGCAACCCUUGUUCUUAGUUGCCAGCAUUUAGUUGGGCACUCUAAGGUGACUGCCGGUGACAAACCGGAGGAAGGUGGGGAUGACGUCAAAUCAUCAUGCCCCUUAUGACCUGGGCUACACACGUGCUACAAUGGACGGUACAAACGGUUGCCAACCCGCGAGGGGGAGCUAAUCCGAUAAAACCGUUCUCAGUUCGGAUUGUAGGCUGCAACUCGCCUACAUGAAGCCGGAAUCGCUAGUAAUCGCGGAUCAGCAUGCCGCGGUGAAUACGUUCCCGGGCCUUGCACACACCGCCCGU
Molecule: ribosomal RNA, 439 nt
Filed under: uncultured bacterium
Lineage: Bacteria
Description: bacterial SSU rRNA
Rfam family: Bacterial small subunit ribosomal RNA
Source: RNAcentral